Molecule: ribosomal RNA, 497 nt
Filed under: uncultured bacterium
Lineage: Bacteria
Description: partial 16S ribosomal RNA
Rfam family: Bacterial small subunit ribosomal RNA
Source: RNAcentral
GACGAACGCUGGCGGCGUGCCUAAUACAUGCAAGUUGAGCGCUGAAGGUUGGUACUUGUACCAACUGGAUGAGCAGCGAACGGGUGAGUAACGCGUGGGGAAUCUGCCUUUGAGCGGGGGACAACAUUUGGAAACGAAUGCUAAUACCGCAUAAAAACUUUAAACACAAGUUUUAAGUUUGAAAGAUGCAAUUGCAUCACUCAAAGAUGAUCCCGCGUUGUAUUAGCUAGUUGGUGAGGUAAAGGCUCACCAAGGCGAUGAUACAUAGCCGACCUGAGAGGGUGGUCGGCCACAUUGGGACUGGGACACGGCCCAAACUCCUACGGGGGGCAGCAGUAGGGAAUCUUCGGCAAUGGACGAAAGUCUGACCGAGCAACGCCGCGGGAGUGAAGAAGGUUUUCGGAUCGGAAAACUCUGUUGGUAGAGAAGAACGUUGGUGAGAGUGGAAAGCUCAUCAAGUGACGGUAACUAACCAGAAAGGGACGGCUAACUACGUG